RNAcentral lists this ribosomal RNA (436 nucleotides) under uncultured bacterium. RNAcentral describes it as "bacterial SSU rRNA". It matches the Rfam family "Bacterial small subunit ribosomal RNA", at positions 958 to 1392 of the family's 1533-position model. The record is from RNAcentral.
UACGCGAAGAACUUACCUGGCCUUGACAUGUCCGGAACCUUGUAGAGAUAUGAGGGUGCCCGAAAGGGAACCGGAACACAGGUGCUGCAUGGCUGUCGUCAGCUCGUGUCGUGAGAUGUUGGGUUAAGUCCCGCAACGAGCGCAACCCUUGUCCUUAGUUGCCAGCACUUCGGGUGGGCACUCUAAGGAGACCGCCGGUGACAAACCGGAGGAAGGUGGGGAUGACGUCAAGUCAUCAUGGCCUUUAUGGCCAGGGCUACACACGUGCUACAAUGGCCGGUACAAAGGGUUGCCAACCCGCAAGGGGGAGCUAAUCCCGGAAAGCCGGUCGUAGUCCGGAUCGGAGUCUGCAACUCGACUCCGUGAAGUUGGAAUCGCUAGUAAUCGCAAAUCAGCAUUGUUGCGGUGAAUACGUUCCCGGGUCUUGUACACACCG